This is a non-coding RNA of Peptoanaerobacter stomatis, 338 nucleotides long. It matches the Rfam family "Bacterial RNase P class A". From Rfam's summary of the family: Ribonuclease P (RNase P) is a ubiquitous endoribonuclease, found in archaea, bacteria and eukarya as well as chloroplasts and mitochondria. Its best characterised activity is the generation of mature 5'-ends of tRNAs by cleaving the 5'-leader elements of precursor-tRNAs. NCBI's taxonomy places the organism in Bacteria, Bacillati, Bacillota, Clostridia, Peptostreptococcales, Filifactoraceae. The record is from Rfam.
AGAGUAAGUUGAAUAGUCGCAUACUCUAUGUAUGAGGAAAGUCCGAGCUUCAUAGAGCAAAAUGCCGGAUAACGUCCGGUGGAGGCGACUCCAAGGCAAGUGCAACAGAAAUAAACCGCCUAUUUUUAGUAGGUAAGGGUGGAAAGGCGAGGUAAGAGCUCACCAAAAGGCAGGCGACUGUCUUGUUGUGUAAACCCCAUUUGAAGCAAGACCAAGUAGGAUAUAAUAAGAAAUUGCUCGUUUCUAUCCGUAGGUAGGUCGCUAAAUAUCAUAGGCGACUGUGAUAGUAGAUAGAUGACUAUUUUAAACAGAACUCGGCUUAUAGAUUUGCUCUACUA